UGGGGGAUAUUGCACAAUGGGCGAAAGCCUGAUGCAGCGACGCCGCGUGGGGGAUGAAGGCCUUCGGGUUGUAAACUUCUUUUGCUCUGAACAAGGCAUGCUAAUGGGUGUGUUGAGUGUAGGGGUUGAUUAGCGCCGGCUAACUACGUGCCAGCAGCCGCGGUAAUACGUAGGGCGCGAGCGUUGUCCGGAAUUAUUGGGCGUAAAGGGCUUGUAGGUGGCUGGGUGCGUCUGUCGUGAAAGCUCAUGGCUUAAAUGUGGGUUUGCGGUGGGUACGGGCUGGCUUGAGUGCAGUAGGGGAGGCUGGAAUUCCUGGUGUAGCGGUGGAAUGCGCAGAUAUCAGGAAGAAUACCGGUGGCGAAGGCGGGUCUCUGGGCUGUUACUGACACUGAGGAGCGAAAGCAUGGGGAGCGAACAGG
This 419-nucleotide ribosomal RNA is filed under the name bacterium. RNAcentral describes it as "partial 16S ribosomal RNA". It matches the Rfam family "Bacterial small subunit ribosomal RNA", at positions 355 to 776 of the family's 1533-position model. The record is from RNAcentral.